UGAGGAAUAUUGGACAAUGGGCGAAAGCCUGAUCCAGCCAUGCCGCGUGUGUGAAGAAGGUCUUCGGAUUGUAAAGCACUUUAAGUUGGGAGGAAGGGCAGUAAGUUAAUACCUUGCUGUUUUGACGUUACCGACAGAAUAAGCACCGGCUAACUCUGUGCCAGCAGCCGCGGUAAUACAGAGGGUGCAAGCGUUAAUCGGAAUUACUGGGCGUAAAGCGCGCGUAGGUGGUUUGUUAAGUUGGAUGUGAAAGCCCCGGGCUCAACCUGGGAACUGCAUCCAAAACUGGCAAGCUAGAGUACGGUAGAGGGUGGUGGAAUUUCCUGUGUAGCGGUGAAAUGCGUAGAUAUAGGAAGGAACACCAGUGGCGAAGGCGACCACCUGGACUGAUACUGACACUGAGGUGCGAAAGCGUGGGGAGCAAACAGGAUUAGAUACCACGUAGUCCCUGAGCGGGCUGGCAAGGCGCAU
RNAcentral lists this ribosomal RNA (471 nucleotides) under uncultured bacterium. RNAcentral describes it as "bacterial SSU rRNA". It matches the Rfam family "Bacterial small subunit ribosomal RNA", at positions 355 to 825 of the family's 1533-position model. The record is from RNAcentral.